This 207-nucleotide ribosomal RNA is filed under the name uncultured bacterium. RNAcentral describes it as "partial 16S ribosomal RNA". It matches the Rfam family "Bacterial small subunit ribosomal RNA", at positions 568 to 774 of the family's 1533-position model. The record is from RNAcentral.
CACGUAGGCGGCUAUGCAAGUUGGGGGUGAAAGCCCGGGGCUCAACCUCGGAACUGCCUCCAAAACUGCAUCGCUAGAAUCCUGGAGAGGUGAGUGGAAUUCCUAGUGUAGAGGUGAAAUUCGUAGAUAUUAGGAAGAACACCAGUGGCGAAGGCGGCUCACUGGACAGGUAUUGACGCUAAGGUGCGAAAGCGUGGGGAGCGAACA